GGGAAUUCCAACCUGUGGAAUCUUGGGGGUACCCAAGGUCGGCUUCUUCGCAUUGACUGUGGAUGGUACCUGGCACAGAGCCUCUGGUGGCUCGUAGGGAGCUUGGGGGUCCGCAGGGUGAGGGCGGAGGGGAGUGUCAGUGUCAGAGUGUGAGUGGGGUACGGGCGUUCUAAACUUAGUCUUGAGGCCCUCGGGUCUCCCGUGCCGGGGAAGGGAGCUCGGGCCGCCAUGCGCGACAGGACCCACGAACUGAGGCAGGGGGAUGACAGUUCGGACGACGAGGACAAGGAGCGGGUCGCGCUGGUGGUACACCCGGGCACCGCACGGCUGGGGAGCCCGGACGAUGAGUUCUUCCAAAAGGUCCGGACAAUUCGACAGACUAUUGUCAAGCUGGAGAAUAAAGUCCGAGAGUUGGAGAAGCAGCAGGUCACCAUCCUGGCCACGCCCCUUCCCGAGGAGAGUAUGAAGCAGGACCUGCAGAACCUGCGUGAUGAGAUCAAACAGCUGGGGAGGGAGAUCCGAGCGCAGCUGAAGGCCAUAGAGCCCCAGAAGGAGGAAGCUGAUGAGAAUUAUAACUCAGUCAACACAAGGAUGAAAAAAACCCAGCAUGGGGUCCUGUCCCAGCAAUUCGUGGAGCUCAUCAACAAGUGCAACUUGAUGCAGUCGGAAUAUCGGGAGAAGAAUGUGGAGCGGAUUCGGAGGCAGCUGAAGAUCACAAAUGCUGGAAUGGUGUCUGACGAAGAGCUGGAGCAGAUGCUGGACAGUGGGCAGAGUGAGGUGUUUGUAUCCAAUAUACUGAAGGACACACAAGUGACUCGACAGGCCCUAAAUGAGAUCUCAGCCCGGCACAGUGAGAUCCAGCAGCUUGAACGCAGUAUCCGUGAACUUCAUGAGAUCUUCACUUUUCUGGCUACUGAAGUGGAGGUGCAGGGGGAGAUGAUCAACCGGAUUGAGAAAAACAUCCUGAGCUCAGCAGACUAUGUGGAACGGGGGCAGGAACAUGUCAAGAUGGCCCUGGAGAACCAGAAGAAGGCACGGAAGAAAAAAGUUUUGAUCGCCAUCUGUCUGUCUGUCACUGUCCUCAUUGUGGCAGUGAUCAUUGGUGUCUCCAUAUUGGUUUGAGAACAUCGCACGUUCUUGGUCCCUGCUGCUGAUGACGCUGCUGCUCCAAGCCGCCCUUGCCCAGCCCAUCUGGCCACAGUACCGCUUGCUUCGGCUACACACAUAUAGUUGCUGGGGUGACACGAGUCAUGGAAGGGCUGGACGUGUGUCCCUCGGUGCAGUCUCAUUCUCCGCCCCUGGGCCUGGCCUGGGGGAAGGAGCCGGGGAGUGUGGGGGGGGGGGGGGGUUAGGCCCCGAUGAUCCCUGCCUGCUCUGCCUCCAUCCAUCUGGGCUCCCGCCUGCAGCGCCUCCCGGUGGCCCUCAAGUGACCCUGGCGCUGCUGUUGCAAGGCGCCUGCGCCAGGUCCAGGUCCAAGCGUAAGCUUGGCUCUGAGUCUAGGGGGCGUGGCCUUGUGGGAAUUGGAAAAUGAUUGGCCAGCGGAACUAAAUGUUGUUCCUAAAGCGCAUCGGGAUUGGCCUGUUAGACGUCCUGGGGAAGUGAACACUGGGUAUUAAACCACAAUUAACCAAAUGCUGAUAUGGGAGGGGCCUCAGCGAGUCCUCAGUUGCACCCCAAAGUGAUUGGAUCACAGGGCGUAGGGGGCAUGAUCAAAACUCUAACAGGCCGAGGGGCACGAACUUGUGAGUCUGGCUGGGGUAGUGAGUCUGGGACUUCACUCAAGAAGGCGUGGCUGGGUCCCUCUCCCUCUUCGCUGAACUGGUCAGCUGUGCAAGUCUUGGAGGGUACCCAUGCCUCCGUCCUGCCUGAGAUCGUGUAUCCCGUGUACAGAUGAAGCCCUAGACAUCUACAGGAAAGGUGUGCAAACACAAUCUGGAUGUCGGCUCAAUGGGAAAACUGCGAGGUAGGACGGAUCCUGCCCCAGUAGAAGACUGAUUUGAAUACGGGGCCUCUGGGUUUCCCUAAUUCUCCCUCUCUUCCCCUGCGGCCUGCAUCUUCAGCGGAACUCUGUCCUGCUGUUCGCCUUUGCCCACGCACUCACCUUUCUGCCUUCAGAGGAAAACUGCACGACCUGUGGCACCUACUGGGAUCUGAUAGGAGACUAUCAGACUGUGUCACAUCUACGCAGCUGGGAAGCUGUGCAGAACCUCCUGAAAGAGGUAGCUAGAUGGCCCAGUGAGGUCUCGGAUGCUGGCCCGGUAGUUUGAACUUUUCCUGUGGGCUAGGGGACACAUGGAAGGGUUUUGAACAGAUUGAGGCUGUUCCUCCAGACUGGAUUCUGGAAGGAAAAUGAUAUAGAACAGAGCCACAGCUGUCCCAUGGAAGAUGUUGUACAACAUCCUCUGGCACUUCCCAAGUGAAGUUGGAAAUUGGCCCCUGUACACAGAGGGCAGGGGAAAUCAAACAAACAGACAGGGCCACUGCAGAUUGUUCCCCUUACGAUGCUCAUCUGGAUAACAUUCCUUGCAAGGUUACCAUGGGCCAGGUAUCAUUCUAUGCAUUUUGUGUGUACUACUCAAGUUAAGCCUCACAACUGCCUAGAAGUUUCCUAUGGACUGAAUGCGCACAUGUAUGGAGAAAGCCAUGUGAGGACAUAACAAGAAGGUGGACAUCUACAAGUCAGGAAAAUAGUCCUCACCAGGAACUGAAUUGGCCAGCAUCUUGAUCUUGGACUUCCCAGCCUCCAGAACUGUGAGAAAUAAAUUUCUGUUGUUUAAGCCCUUCA
This is an RNA transcript of Herpailurus yagouaroundi (jaguarundi), 2785 nucleotides long. It is a transcript of the gene named syntaxin 4, with no coding region annotated. The transcript has 14 exons. NCBI's taxonomy places the organism in Eukaryota, Metazoa, Chordata, Mammalia, Carnivora, Felidae. The record is from RefSeq and is a predicted model, not a curated record.